UCCACUACUCAGUUGGGAGAGUACAAAACUCUAAACCUUGUGGACGUGGGUUCAAGCCCCAUGGUGGAG
Molecule: transfer RNA, 69 nt
Filed under: Triticum aestivum (bread wheat)
Lineage: Eukaryota; Viridiplantae; Streptophyta; Magnoliopsida; Poales; Poaceae
Rfam family: tRNA
About the family: Transfer RNA (tRNA) molecules are approximately 80 nucleotides in length. Their secondary structure includes four short double-helical elements and three loops (D, anti-codon, and T loops).
Source: Rfam by way of RNAcentral